UUAAUUUUCUUUCUCUCUCACACACAAACACGCACACACACACACACAUCGCUCUAUUUAUUUUUAAGACUAAUAAUAAAUUAUAUAUUUAUACAUUAUAAUCUCUUCCUCUUCAGCUUCAGCCACAUUUUUUUCUCUCUCUAAAAUUACAUUUUCUCUCACUUGUCUAGGUCGUAAAAAUUACAAAGAUCGGAGAAUUGAGGUGUUGCCGUUGGAAUUAAGUUAAGGAAUUAGGGUUUGUGACGAUUUAAUUGCGAUCGAGGUUGGGAAUUUGGGAUUUCUAGAAAAUUGGGGAUUUUGCUAGGGUUUUGGUGGGUGUUUGAGGGUGGAAAAGAUGCAAGUCGAUUUGUAUUAUUAUGCAUGGGAAGGUACAAAGGGAAAGUGAAUUUUGUAGAGGCGGUAGUCAGCACAUGCCGGUAGAUUCCUCUGUUGUUUCUAAUAUUACCGAUGAUUCGUUCUGCAAGGAUGGUCGCAAAGUUAGCGUGGGUGAUUGUGCUUUGUUCAAACCACCUCACGAUUCCCCUCCUUUCAUUGGAAUAAUCCGAAGGCUAAAUUUGAGUGAAGAAAAUAACCUGCAGUUAGGUGUUAAUUGGCUUUAUCGACCUGCUGAGCUUAAGCUUGGCAAGGGCAUCCUCCCGGAAGCCGCACCCAACGAAAUCUUUUAUUCCUUUCAUAGGGAUGAGAUUCUUGCUGCAUCACUACUGCAUCCGUGUAAAGUUGCAUUCCUUUCCAAAGGUGCUGAACUUCCAACAGGGAUAUCCUCAUUUGUCUGCCGGCGUGUUUAUGAUAUUUCAAACAAGUGUUUAUGGUGGUUAACUGACCAAGAUUACAUCAAAGAGCUACAAGAAGAAGUAGGUCAACUAUUAAACAAGACGCGAGUUGAGAUGCAUGCAACAGUGCAACCGGGUGGUCGUUCUCCGAAACCAAUGAAUGGUUCCAUGUCGACAUCACAAUUGAAACCAGGUGGAGAUAGUAUUCAAAGCAGUGUAACUUCUUUUCCUCCACAUGUCAAGGGAAAGAAGAGGGAGCGGGGAGAUCAAGGCUCUGAAUCAAUUAAACGUGAACGUUCAAUCAAAACAGAUGAUACAGAUUCUGGUCAAAUCAAAGCUGAAAGCGUAUUGAAAUCUGAAAUUUCUAAAAUUACGGAGAAAGGAGGGCUUAUUAACUCUGAAGGGGUUGAGAAGCUAGUUCACCUCAUGCAGCCAGAUAGAAAUGAGAGGAAAAUGGAUUUGAUCAGUCGUUCAAUGCUUGCAAGUGUUGUAGCUGCAACUGAAAAUUUUGACUGUCUUACUAGGUUUGUACAGUUAAGGGGUCUACCUGUGUUAGACGAGUGGCUUCAAGAUGUUCAUAAGGGGCGGAUUGGUGAAUGUAGUAACACAAAAGACGGUGAAAAAUUGGUUGAAGAAUUUCUCUUUGUUUUGCUCCGUGCACUUGACAAGCUUCCCGUAAACCUUCAAGCACUGCAGAUGUGCCAUAUUGGCAGGUCUGUUAAUCACUUGCGGCAGCAUAAAAACACAGAGAUACAGAGGAAGGCACGAAGUUUAGUUGAUACGUGGAAGAAACGGGUUGAAGCUGAGAUGAACAUCAUUGAUGCCAAGUCUGGUUCAAAUCAGGCUGUCUCGUGGCCUUCUAAAUCAAGGUUGCCCGAGGCUUCUCAUAGUAUUAGCAAAAAUCCCGGUGGUUCAAAUGAUGUGACAAAGAGUGCAGUUGCACAUAUUUCUGCAUCUAAAAUGGCCUCGAUAAAGACUUCACAAGGGGAGCCUACUAUAAAGUCUGCGUCCUUGUCCCCGAGCUCAACAAAACGUGCAUCAUCACCUGCAUCUGGAAAAGAGGGUCAGCUCAGAGUUUCGGUCGGUGGGUCUUGUGAUGUUCCUUUAGCUAGGGAAGACAAGAGCAGCAGUUCUAGCCAGUCUCACAACCAGAGUCAGUCGCUCUCGGGGAAAGAGGACGGGAGGAGUUCAACUGCAGUGUCAAUGAACAGCAUCAAGAUCUCUACUGGUGGUUCUCGUCACCGGAAGUCAAAUAAUGGAUAUCCUGGAUCAUCAGUAUCUGGAGGCCAAAAGGAGAGUCCUUCAGGCAGAAGUUCGCAUAGAAAUCCUACCUCAGAAAAGUUACCGCAGUCUGCAUUGAGUGGUGAGAGAACUGUUGAUAUGCCAGUUCUCGAGGGGAGUGGUCACAAAUUGAUAGUUAAGAUAUCUAACAGGGGACGCAGUCCUGCACAAAGUGCCAGUGGAGGAUCCUAUGAGGACCCUACCAACAUGAGCAGCCGAGCUUCUUCGCCUGUACUUUCUGAAAAGAAUGAUCAAUUUGACCGAACAGUAAAGGAAAAGACUGAUGCAUAUAGAUCAAAUUUUGAGGCGAAUGCUGAAUCAUCAUGGCAGAGCAAUGAUUUCAAAGAUAUACUAACUGGUUCUGAGGGCAGCGAUGGAUCACCAGCUGCUGCUCCAGAGGACGAGCGAAGCAAGAUUGUUGAUGACAACAGGAAAUCAGCAGAAGUUAGAGCUGCUUGUACAUCAGGGACUGAACCGAAGUCUGGAAAGCUGCAUGAAGCCUCUUUUAGCUCCAUGAAUGCUUUGAUUGAGAGCUGUGUAAAAUAUUCGGAAUCAAACGUGCCUAUGUUACUGGGUGAUGCUAUUGGAAUGAAUCUCCUUGCCAGUGUGGCUGCUGAAGAAAUGUCCAUGUCUGACAUGGUUUCGCGUUCUGUUUCUCCGCAAAGAAAUAUACCUGCUGCUGAAGAGGCUUGCACAGGUGAUGGCGUUAAGUCAAAGUCACCUCCUGCUGAUAUCUCCGCUGGUGACCGUGGAAAUGAUGAUGAUGGUAAUAGGGAGAAGCUCGUUAGUGCUAGUGCUUCAUGGUCCGAGGAUAAACUCUCCAAGGGUGCUGCAAUGGAGCUAUCUGGAGAUAGAAAGGCCUCCUUUUCACCUUCUCAAGAGACAAUGACAGGUGGAUGCAAUAAACAGUUCAACUCUGCCUGCACCGAUUCACAGCAGGCUGGAGAAAAGUUGGAGAUCACUGAGAAGUCAGGUGAGGUGGAAAUUGAUGAUGAAUUAAGCAAACAAUUCCAGGAGGAAAAGGUGGUGUCCCAUGAGGUCAAAGUUGAAGGUGCUGUAGAUGCUAAAUUUGGAGAUGGUACUUCAAUAUCAGGAGACAGGGUCACUAAUGCAGUUGCAAGCUUAGAAGACCAGAAACCGACAGUUGAAGUCUGUACUUCUGACUUUGAAAGUGAGAACAAAAAUGGUGUGAACAGGCUGUUGAACAUUGCUAGUACCGAGAUGAAACAAUCUUCUGUUUUGGUAAAAUCUGAAAAGAUUCAGGGAAGUGACAAGGAAGAGCCCCUACCGACUAGCUCAAGUGGAGAUCCCACCACAGCAACAGGUGGACAGUCUGAUGAAGCAAGUAUAAAUCUUGUUAAUCUGUCUGAAAAGACAAAAUCUGAUCCGGGAAGUGUUGAAGCUUCAGUUGAGGAUAAAGCCUGUUGUGAAAUCGACUUUACUAUAAGAAAUCAGAAGGGUGAAGCUAGUGUUGACCGGAAGGAUGUUGUCCCUCUGCAGAACUCUGGCCUCUUACUCAAUCAGAAAGAGAGACUUGGGUUUUCAAAUGCAGAACUGCAGAAACAUGGGGAAGCUAGAGAAUCAAACUUCCCUGCUGUUGGCGCAGAUAAGACAACGGACUGUGGAUCUUCCAAUGCAGAGACUUCUUCUGUCUCUGCUGCUCCGGAGUCAGCUUCAAAGGUGAAGUUUGACUUAAAUGAAGGUUUUAUUUCUGAUGAAGGGAAAUACGGGGAGCCAAUCAACUUUACAGCCCCUGGAUGUUUAUCAAAUGUCCAUAUUAUGAACCCGUUGCCUUUUGCUGUAUCCUCAGUUUCAUGUAGUCUGCCUGCUUCCAUUACUGUAGCUGCCGCGGCCAAAGGUCCGUUUGUUCCACCGGAGGAGCUAUUGAGGGUCAAAGGGGAGUUCGGCUGGAAAGGGUCUGCUGCAACAAGUGCAUUUCGCCCAGCUGAGCCCAGAAAAUCUCUAGAUAUGCCAUUAAGUUCCACAACCAUAUCUCAUUCUGAAGCUUCUACCAGCAAGCACAGUCGCCCUCAAUUAGAUAUCGACCUGAAUGUACCAGAUGAAAGAACCUUUGACGACAUAAAUGGUCAAGAUUCUGCUCUAGAGUUGAUCUCUCCAUUGGACCAUAUGGCUAAUCGUGCUUCAUUGAAGGAUGAAGUGAUAGAUUCUCCUGCUGUUCGUUGUUCUGGAGGACUGGAUCUUGAUUUAAAUAGACUUGAUGAACCUGGUGAUGCGGGACAGUGCUCUGUGAGUAGCAGUUGUAGAUUGGACGGUGCAAUUUUUCCUUCCAAAGCAUCAUCGAUUGGCUUGCCCACUGGGGAUGUGAGGAGGGACUUUGAUUUAAAUAAUGGGCCUGGUGUCGAUGAUUUCAGCACAGAACAGUCUCUAUUCCACGAUAAUCAUCAGGGAAGCAUGCGGUCCCAACUGCCUGCUUCUAACCUCAGACUGAACAAUCCAGAAAUGGGGAACCUUUCUUCUUGGUUUACUCCUGGGAGUACUUAUUCAACUGUGACACUUCCAUCGAUUUUGCCUGAUCGUGUGGAGCAGCCGCCAUUCCCAGUAGUCACACCUGGUGCGCAACGAAUCUUGGGUCCUACUGCUGGUUCUCCUUUCACCCCGGAUGUUUAUCGGAGUUCGGUAUUGUCAUCAUCGCCUGCCAUGCCCUUCCCAUCCUCCCCUUUCCCGUAUCCUGUAUUUCCUUUGACAAAAAGUUUCGCACUUCCUUCUGCAACAUUCUCAGUUGGAUCAACUUCUUUCGUUGAUUCUUCCACUGGUGGAAGGAUUUAUACGCCAUCUGUAAAUUCACAGCUGCUGGGUCCUGUUGGGGCUGUGUCAUCUCAAUAUCCGAGGCCGUAUAUGGUUGGCCUUCCUGACAGUAACAACAACGGUACCAUGGACCACAAUAGAAAAUGGGGCAGGCAGGGUCUGGAUCUUAAUGCAGGCCCUGGAGUGGUGGACAUGGAAGGGAGAGAGGAGUCGGUUUCUUUGACCUCAAGACAACUCUCUGCUGCCGGUUCACAAGCAUUAGCUGAGGAGCAUGGUAGGAUGUAUGCUGUACCAGGGGGUCCUCUGAAGAGGAAGGAGCCUGAGGGAGGAUGGGACAGUGAGAGCUUCAGGUUCAAGCAGUCAUGGCAUUAAGAUCAUGAAAAGCUGCAAUCUGGUGAUUUUGGAAGGGAAGCACUAGGACAUCUCAUGCAUUAAAAUUGUGUACCACACACUGUAAGCUUGUGGAUUUUUAUAUGUUUGAGCUGUUAUUCCUGUGCAGAAACUGUGAUACACAACCAAUGAAAAGGAGAGACGUUCGUGCACAAUUAUUUUAAAGGUUUUCUGCUGGAGCAUGUGUCCUUUUUUCUAGUUUGAUUUAUUUUGAAAGAACAAGGAUAUCUCAGAAGUUGGAAGUGUUUGUUGGGUCUUCUGUCCUAAUUAUCAAGACAUAACUAUUGCUUUCCUCUCCUUCCUGCUACUGGAGGAUGGACCUUCCCAGACUCUCAGCUUCUGGUGUGCUCCUGCAGGGUUGGUGGUAAGUGAGCAAAGUUGAUGUGUUCAGAGUCUCCGACCACCACAUCUUCAGCAUAUCAGAGUAGUAGGGAAUUCCAUGGUUUGCAAGCACUUUGGUCAGCUGUAUUCUCUGGGUGGAUGCAGAUAGAGUUUUCCCUCUGUAGAUAUUUAACUGUUGGAAAGCUUGAAAUCUUUGACGCCUAGGGACUGGGGGAUAAAUUAAUGCUAUCCUUGUCCAAAUUAUUGACAUUGGAGGUGGAUUCCAGACUGAAUCAAAUGGAAAGCUUUCUUCUUUGUGCUUUGCUGUUAAUCAUCUUUCAAAGAUCACCGUGUUCUUGGCAUUUCUGUGUCUUUUUUUUGCCCAUUACAUAUGUAUACAGGGGUUGGCACCAAAUUUUGGUACUAAUGCUUUCAUCAGGCAUGUUUUAGUUGUUGUGGCUGCCAUUUGUACCAUAAAUUGAAUCAGUCUAACUUUAGCUGUAGUCUCAUUCACAGAUGAUAGAACUCUUGUUAAAGAUGAUAUUUUCAUUGGUGGUGGUGA
Molecule: RNA transcript, 6090 nt
Organism: Lycium ferocissimum
Lineage: Eukaryota; Viridiplantae; Streptophyta; Magnoliopsida; Solanales; Solanaceae
Exons: 6
Source: RefSeq, a predicted model, not a curated record